RNAcentral lists this ribosomal RNA (454 nucleotides) under uncultured Rikenellaceae bacterium. RNAcentral's name for it is "partial 16S ribosomal RNA". It matches the Rfam family "Bacterial small subunit ribosomal RNA", at positions 341 to 792 of the family's 1533-position model. The record is from RNAcentral. Lineage: Bacteria; Pseudomonadati; Bacteroidota; Bacteroidia; Bacteroidales; Rikenellaceae.
ACGGAAGGCAGCAGUGAGGAAUAUUGGUCAAUGGACGGAAGUCUGAACCAGCCAUGCUGCGUGAAGGAAUAAGGCCCUAUGGGUCGUAAACUUCUUUUGUGGUGGAGCAAUAAGGUGCACGUGUGCAUCGAUGAGAGUACAUCACGAAUAAGCAUCGGCUAACUCCGUGCCAGCAGCCGCGGUAAUACGGAGGAUGCGAGCGUUAUCCGGAUUUAUUGGGUUUAAAGGGUGCGUAGGCUGUUCUUCAAGUCAGAGGUGAAAUACCGGGGCGCAACCCUGGAACUGCCUUUGAUACUGGAGGGCUUGAAUACUGUUGCCGUGGGAGGAAUGAGUAGUGUAGCGGUGAAAUGCAUAGAUAUUACUCAGAACACCGAUUGCGAAGGCAUCUCACGAAGCAGCGAUUGACGCUGAGGCACGAAGGCGUGGGGAUCAAACAGGAUUAGAUACCCUGGUA